This 74-nucleotide transfer RNA is filed under the name Actinomycetota bacterium. RNAcentral's name for it is "tRNA-Pro". It matches the Rfam family "tRNA". Rfam says of the family: Transfer RNA (tRNA) molecules are approximately 80 nucleotides in length. Their secondary structure includes four short double-helical elements and three loops (D, anti-codon, and T loops). Lineage: Bacteria; Bacillati; Actinomycetota. The record is from RNAcentral.
CGGGACGUGGCGCAGUUUGGCAGCGCACCUGCUUUGGGAGCAGGGGGUCGCGGGUUCAAGUCCCGCCGUCCCGA